This 296-nucleotide small nuclear RNA is filed under the name Mustela putorius furo (domestic ferret). RNAcentral's name for it is "7SK RNA (ENSMPUG00000022980.1)". It matches the Rfam family "7SK RNA". From Rfam's summary of the family: 7SK was discovered as an abundant small nuclear RNA in the mid-70s but a possible function has only recently been suggested. Two independent studies have found that 7SK RNA binds the CDK9/cyclin T complex (known as elongation factor P-TEFb). P-TEFb activates transcription by phosphorylating the C-terminal domain of RNA polymerase II. Lineage: Eukaryota; Metazoa; Chordata; Mammalia; Carnivora; Mustelidae. The record is from Rfam by way of RNAcentral.
GGAUGUGAGGGCGAUCUGGCUGCGACAUCUGUCACCCCAUUGAUCGCCAGGGUUGAUUCAGCUGAUUUGGCUGGCUAGGCGGGUGUCGCCUUCCUCCGUCACCGCUCCAUGUGCGUCCCUCCCGAAGCUGCGCGCUCGGUCGAAGAGGACGACCUUCCCCGAUAGAGGAGAGGACCGUUCUUCGGUCAAGGGUAUACGAGUAGCUGCGCUCCCCUGCUAGAACCUCCAAACAAGCUCUCAAGGUAAUGGUUUGCAUCAAAGAUAAAUAAGAAAUUGAGUAAGGGGCAGCCUUCUUA